AAGGCCCGCAACAAGAAAUCCUU
Molecule: unclassified non-coding RNA, 23 nt
Filed under: synthetic construct
Source: RNAcentral